UACGUAGGGCGCGAGCGUUGUCCGGAAUUAUUGGGCGUAAAGAGCUCGUAGGCGGCCUGUUGCGUCCGCUGUGAAAUCCCAGGGCUCAACCCUGGGCGUGCAGUGGAUACGGGCAGGCUGGAGGCAGGCAGGGGAGAACGGAAUUCCCGGUGUAGCGGUGAAAUGCGCAGAUAUCGGGAGGAACACCGGAUGGCGAAGGCGCAGCCCCUGGGUUGAAC
RNAcentral lists this ribosomal RNA (218 nucleotides) under uncultured bacterium. RNAcentral describes it as "partial 16S ribosomal RNA". It matches the Rfam family "Bacterial small subunit ribosomal RNA", at positions 524 to 740 of the family's 1533-position model. The record is from RNAcentral.